Molecule: ribosomal RNA, 867 nt
Filed under: uncultured bacterium
Lineage: Bacteria
Description: bacterial SSU rRNA
Rfam family: Bacterial small subunit ribosomal RNA
Source: RNAcentral
AUUAGCUUGCUUUUGAAGAUCAGCGGCGGACGGGUGAGUAACACGUGGGCAACCUGCCUGUAAGACUGGGAUAACUUCGGGAAACCGGAGCUAAUACCGGAUAAUCCAUUCCCUCACAUGAGGGAAUGCUGAAAGACGGUUUCGGCUGUCACUUACAGAUGGGCCCGCGGCGCAUUAGCUAGUUGGUGAGGUAACGGCUCACCAAGGCAACGAUGCGUAGCCGACCUGAGAGGGUGAUCGGCCACACUGGGACUGAGACACGGCCCAGACUCCUACGGGAGGCAGCAGUAGGGAAUCUUCCGCAAUGGACGAAAGUCUGACGGAGCAACGCCGCGUGAACGAUGAAGGCUUUCGGGUCGUAAAGUUCUGUUGUCAGGGAAGAACAAGUACCGGAGUAACUGCCGGUACCUUGACGGUACCUGACCAGAAAGCCACGGCUAACUACGUGCCAGCAGCCGCGGUAAUACGUAGGUGGCAAGCGUUGUCCGGAAUUAUGGGGCGUAAAGCGCGCGCAGGCGGUUCCUUAAGUCUGAUGUGAAAGCCCCCGGCUCAACCGGGGAGGGUCAUUGGAAACUGGGGAACUUGAGUGCAGAAGAGGAGAGCGGAAUUCCACGUGUAGCGGUGAAAUGCGUAGAGAUGUGGAGGAACACCAGUGGCGAAGGCGGCUCUCUGGUCUGUAACUGACGCUGAGGCGCGAAAGCGUGGGGAGCGAACAGGAUUAGAUACCCUGGUAGUCCACGCCGUAAACGAUGAGUGCUAAGUGUUAGAGGGUUUCCGCCCUUUAGUGCUGCAGCAAACGCAUUAAGCACUCCGCCUGGGGAGUACGGCCGCAAGGCUGAAACUCAAAGGAAUUGACGGGGGCCCGCA